This 449-nucleotide ribosomal RNA is filed under the name uncultured bacterium. Its description in RNAcentral is "partial 16S ribosomal RNA". It matches the Rfam family "Bacterial small subunit ribosomal RNA", at positions 29 to 523 of the family's 1533-position model. The record is from RNAcentral.
AAUGAACGCUGGCGGCAGGCCUAACACAUGCAAGUCGAACGGAUCCUUCGGGAUUAGUGGCGGACGGGUGAGUAACGCGUGGGAACAUACCCAAAGGUACGGAAUAGCCUCGGGAAACUGGGAGUAAUACCGUAUGUGCUCGAAAGAGGAAAGAUUUAUCGCCUUUGGAUUGGCCCGCGUUGGCUUUGGUAGUGGGUGGGGUAAUGGCCUACCAAGCCGACGAUCCAUAGCUGGUUUGAGAGGAUGAUCAGCCACACUGGGACUGAGACACGGCCCAGACUCCUACGGGAGGCAGCAGUGGGGAAUCUUAGACAAUGGGGGAAACCCUGAUCUAGCCAUGCCGCGUGAUCGAUGAAGGCCUUAGGGUUGUAAAGAUCUUUCAGGUGGGAAGAUAAUGACGGUACCACCAAAAGAAGCCCCGGCUAACUCCGUGCCAGCCGCCGCCGUAA